This 540-nucleotide transfer RNA is filed under the name uncultured Prochlorococcus sp. RNAcentral describes it as "partial 16S-23S ribosomal RNA intergenic spacer". The stretch from base 211 to 283 matches the Rfam family "tRNA". Lineage: Bacteria; Bacillati; Cyanobacteriota; Cyanophyceae; Synechococcales; Prochlorococcaceae. The record is from RNAcentral.
CAGGGAGACAACAAAAUGUUUAAUAUUAUUAUUUUGUCACCUUAGGUCGAUCGGUAUCUCACGUUCUUAAUUUAUUAAGAAUUUCAUUUCCUAAGUUUUUCUAGGUCACACCCAUUAUUUUCCUGGGCCAUUAGCUCAGGUGGUUAGAGCGCACCCCUGAUAAGGGUGAGGUCCCUGGUUCAAGUCCAGGAUGGCCCAUAUCUCUAUGUUGGGGGUAUAGCUCAGUUGGUAGAGCGCCUGCUUUGCAAGCAGGAUGUCAGCGGUUCGAGUCCGCUUACCUCCACUGAUUACCACCUCUUCCAUAAUCUGUAGAAAGGAAAAUUUUUUGAGUUGUGAUCAUUAUUCUGAACGAAUCUAGCUUCCUAAUGAAAUUAUUAAGAUGCUGGACUCAUUGAAUUAAUUUCAUUGUUUUCAGAGAACCUUGACAACUGCAUAGAUUAUUUUAAAGACAAUAAGCAUCUUUAAUGAUGCAGAUUUAUUAUUUUUGCAAAUGCAUUAAUAACAAUUCUAUUAAGCUGAUGCUUCAAUUAUGAACUUAUU